AACUGAAUGCAAGGUUAAAGGACG
This 24-nucleotide non-coding RNA is filed under the name Cricetulus griseus (Chinese hamster). The record is from RNAcentral. Lineage: Eukaryota; Metazoa; Chordata; Mammalia; Rodentia; Cricetidae.